GAUGAACGCUGGCGGCGUGCCUAAUACAUGCAAGUCGAGCGAACGGACGAGAAGCUUGCUUCUCUGAUGUUAGCGGCGGACGGGUGAGUAACACGUGGAUAACCUACCUAUAAGACUGGGAUAACUUCGGGAAACCGGAGCUAAUACCGGAUAAUAUUUUGAACCGCAUGGUUCAAAAGUAAAAGACGGUCUUGCUGUCACUUAUAGAUGGAUCCGCGCUGCAUUAGCUAGUUGGUAAGGUAACGGCUUACCAAGGCAACGAUGCAUAGCCGACCUGAGAGGGUGAUCGGCCACACUGGAACUGAGACACGGUCCAGAAUCCUACGGGAGGCAGCAGUAGGGAAUCUUCCGCAAUGGGCGAAAGCCUGACGGAGCAACGCCGCGUGAGUGAUGAAGGUCUUCGGAUCGUAAAACUCUGUUAUUAGGGAAGAACAUAUGUGUAAGUAACUGUGCGCAUCUUGACGGUACCUAAUCAGAAAGCCACGGCUAACUACGUG
Molecule: ribosomal RNA, 497 nt
Filed under: uncultured bacterium
Lineage: Bacteria
Description: partial 16S ribosomal RNA
Rfam family: Bacterial small subunit ribosomal RNA
Source: RNAcentral